This is a long non-coding RNA of Mobula hypostoma (lesser devil ray), 694 nucleotides long. RefSeq lists it as uncharacterized. NCBI's taxonomy places the organism in Eukaryota, Metazoa, Chordata, Chondrichthyes, Myliobatiformes, Myliobatidae. The record is from RefSeq and is a predicted model, not a curated record. The transcript has 3 exons.
UUUCAGUGCUGGAGAAUCUCAAAGCUCCUGCACCACUGCUGAAUUUCAUGUGGUGCCCAAUGGCCAAGAAAUUAUCCAGAGAAGUUCAUCAAGUUGGCUUGCAAUUCCACCUUCUGAAAACUUGGGAAACUACAGCCAGUCAUAAAGUUGUACAGUUCAGAAGCUGACCCGUUGGUCAUCAUGUUUGUGCUGGCCUUUUUUCCCCAUCUCACCUGCUCCAUUUGCCUGAAUUAGGGGCCGUGGACAAUUCUGAUUUGAUGGAGAAUGGACAUGAGAGCACAGAGGAACAUCUGGAGAAAUUUCUGAAACGCCUGUCCGCUGCUGUCGUUACUGUGUGGUCGGGAAUCUUUCGAAGAGUAGGCCUCAAAAUCCCCAGCCUUGCCUGCUUUUGGUGACCGAGAAGGAGGUUGAAUCGUUCGGACAGAGAUGGCGCUCAGUACUCGGUGUCGGAGAGCUGAUCAGAGCUCGAAGUUUUCAGAUGACUCAGAGUCGGACCGUGGUCGGCAUGGCAGGGAGAGUUUUUCUUCCUUCUCCCGUCUGCGUGAGAUGUGGGACAUUUGAGAGACUUUGAACUUUUACUGUGCUCAUGGACUUCUUCAUCAAGUUAUGGUAUUGUUACACUGUUUGUAACUAUAUGUUAUAAUUAUGUGGUUUCGUCAGUUUUUUCCGUCUUGGUUUGUCCUGUGUUUUGUGA